CCUACGGGGGGCUGCAGUCGAGAAUCUUCGGCAAUGAGCGCAAGCUUGACCGAGCGACGCCGCGUGCGGGAUGAAGGCCUUCGGGUUGUAAACCGCUUUGGUCCGAAAGAAAGGGUAAAACUUGAUCGAUCGGAGAAACAAGGACGGGCUAAGUUCGUGCCAGCAGCCGCUGUAAGACGAACCGUCCAAACGUUAUUCGGAAUCACUGGGCUUAAAGGGCGCGUAGGCGGCGGAGCGGGUCGUGGGUGAAGCCCCCAGGUUAACUGGGGAACUGCUUACGAUACCACUGCGGCUCGAGGAAGGAAGGGGCAAGUGGAACUGUCGGUGGAGCGGUGAAAUGCGUUGAUAUCGACAGGAACGCCGGUGGCGAAAGCGAAUUGCUGGUCCUUUUCUGACGCUGAGGCGCGAAAGCCAGGGGAGCAAACGGGAUUAGAUACCCGGGUAGUC
RNAcentral lists this ribosomal RNA (447 nucleotides) under uncultured bacterium. Its description in RNAcentral is "partial 16S ribosomal RNA". It matches the Rfam family "Bacterial small subunit ribosomal RNA", at positions 338 to 795 of the family's 1533-position model. The record is from RNAcentral.